GUCUGGCUCAGGAUGAAUGCUGGCGGCGUGCCUAAUACAUGCAAGUCGAGCGGUAACAUGGAAUAGCUUGCUAUUCUGAUGACGAGCGGCGGACGGCUGAGUAACGCGUGGGAACGCACCCCAAACUGAGGGAUAUCUAUUCGAAAGAGUAGCUAAUACCGCAUGUGAUCUUCGGAUUAAAGGAUUUUAUCCGGUUUGGGACUGGCCUGCGUACGAUUAGAUAGUUGGUGAGG
Molecule: ribosomal RNA, 233 nt
Filed under: uncultured bacterium
Lineage: Bacteria
Description: partial 16S ribosomal RNA
Rfam family: Bacterial small subunit ribosomal RNA
Source: RNAcentral